This 346-nucleotide ribosomal RNA is filed under the name uncultured bacterium. RNAcentral's name for it is "partial 16S ribosomal RNA". It matches the Rfam family "Bacterial small subunit ribosomal RNA", at positions 338 to 699 of the family's 1533-position model. The record is from RNAcentral.
CCUACGGGAGGCAGCAGUGGGGAAUAUUGGGCAAUGGGCGCAAGCCUGAACCAGCAACGCCGCGUGAAGGAAAAAGGCUCUCGGGGUGGAAACUUCUUUUAGUAGGGAAGAGCAGAAGACGGUACCUCUCGAAUAAGCCACGGCGAACUACGUGCCAGCAGCCGCGGUAAUACGGAGGUGGCAAGCGUUGUCCGGAUUUACUGGGUGUAAAGGGCGUGUAGCCGGGCUGAGAAGUCAGAUGUGAAAUCCGGGGGCUCAACCCCCGAACUGCCUUUGAAACUGUUGGUCUUGAGUAUCGGAGCGGCAGGCGGAAUUCCUAGUGUAGCGGUGAAAUGCGUAGAUAUUA